UGGAAGACGGGCAAUUCAUUCAGAGUCUAAUACAGAUGCUCUCUUCAAACUCCUCAGCAUACAAAUUGGUUUGCCUCAAAUGUAUCAAGAAGCUAACAGCAUACCCCAGGAUGGCAAAGCGGCUUCUGUCAGAUUCUGCAACCAUACCACCUUUGCUGGGUCUCAUCUCAUUUAUCAGCCCUGAUCCACAUUUGAAGCAAGAAGCUGGUGAGAUCCUUG
Molecule: unclassified non-coding RNA, 219 nt
Filed under: Hevea brasiliensis (rubber tree)
Lineage: Eukaryota; Viridiplantae; Streptophyta; Magnoliopsida; Malpighiales; Euphorbiaceae
Source: RNAcentral